GGUGGCGGUUUUACUGAACCUGUCCCACCUGAUCCCAUUCCGAACUCAGAAGUGAAAUGGUUUAAGGCCCAUGAUAGUGCUUUUGCGCGAAAGUAGGUCACCGCCACCA
This 109-nucleotide ribosomal RNA is filed under the name bacterium. The record is from RNAcentral.